AUUGAACGCUGGCGGCAUGCCUUACACAUGCAAGUCGAACGGCAGCACGGGAGCAAUCCUGGUGGCGAGUGGCGAACGGGUGAGUAAAGUAUCGGAACGUGCCCAGUCGUGGGGGAUAACGUAGCGAAAGUUACGCUAAUACCGCAUACGAUCUAUGGAUGAAAGCGGGGGAUCGCAAGACCUCGCGCGAUUGGAGCGGCCGAUAUCAGAUUAGGUAGUUGGUGGGGUGAAGGCUCACCAAGCCGACGAUCUGUAGCUGGUCUGAGAGGACGACCAGCCACACUGGGACUGAGACACGGCCCAGACUCCUACGGGGGGCAGCAGUGGGGAAUUUUGGACAAUGGGCGAAAGCCUGAUCCAGCCAUGCCGCGUGCAGGAUGAAGGCCUUCGGGUUGUAAACUGCUUUUGUACGGAACGAAAAGGUUUGGCCUAAUAAGCUGAGCUCAUGACGGUACCGUAAGAAUAAGCACCGGCUAACUACGUGCCAGCCGCCGCAGUAA
Molecule: ribosomal RNA, 500 nt
Filed under: uncultured bacterium
Lineage: Bacteria
Description: partial 16S ribosomal RNA
Rfam family: Bacterial small subunit ribosomal RNA
Source: RNAcentral